RNAcentral lists this microRNA precursor (63 nucleotides) under Pristionchus pacificus. RNAcentral's name for it is "microRNA ppc-mir-235 precursor". Its record names the gene ppc-mir-235. The record is from miRBase by way of RNAcentral. Lineage: Eukaryota; Metazoa; Nematoda; Chromadorea; Rhabditida; Neodiplogasteridae.
AGGCCGCGGUCGGAUGCCAUGUUCGCACAGUCGAAGCGUAAUAUUGCACUCGUCCCGGCCUGA